UAAAAGAUAAGCUAACUAAGCUAUUGGGCUCAUAACCCUUUUAUGGUUUCUGCCUCUUUUAA
This 62-nucleotide transfer RNA is filed under the name Gammarus nipponensis. RNAcentral describes it as "tRNA-Met". Lineage: Eukaryota; Metazoa; Arthropoda; Malacostraca; Amphipoda; Gammaridae. The record is from RNAcentral.